Molecule: ribosomal RNA, 1459 nt
Filed under: Lysinimonas sp. LM-2018
Lineage: Bacteria; Bacillati; Actinomycetota; Actinomycetes; Micrococcales; Microbacteriaceae
Description: bacterial SSU rRNA
Rfam family: Bacterial small subunit ribosomal RNA
Source: RNAcentral
GACGAACGCUGGCGGCGUGCUUAACACAUGCAAGUCGAACGGUGAUGUCAGAGCUUGCUCUGGCGGAUCAGUGGCGAACGGGUGAGUAACACGUGAGUAACCUGCCCCCGACUCUGGGAUAACUGCUAGAAAUGGUAGCUAAUACCGGAUAUGACGAUUGGCCGCAUGGUCUGGUCGUGGAAAGAAUUUCGGUUGGGGAUGGACGCGCGGCCUAUCAGGUUGUUGGUGAGGUAAUGGCUCACCAAGCCUACGACGGGUAGCCGGCCUGAGAGGGUGACCGGCCACACUGGGACUGAGACACGGCCCAGACUCCUACGGGAGGCAGCAGUGGGGAAUAUUGCACAAUGGGCGAAAGCCUGAUGCAGCAACGCCGCGUGAGGGAUGACGGCCUUCGGGUUGUAAACCUCUUUUAGUAGGGAAGAAGCGAAAGUGACGGUACCUGCAGAAAAAGCACCGGCUAACUACGUGCCAGCAGCCGCGGUAAUACGUAGGGUGCAAGCGUUGUCCGGAAUUAUUGGGCGUAAAGAGCUCGUAGGCGGUUUGUCGCGUCUGCUGUGAAAUCCCGAGGCUCAACCUCGGGUCUGCAGUGGGUACGGGCAGACUAGAGUGCGGUAGGGGAGAUUGGAAUUCCUGGUGUAGCGGUGGAAUGCGCAGAUAUCAGGAGGAACACCGAUGGCGAAGGCAGAUCUCUGGGCCGUAACUGACGCUGAGGAGCGAAAGCAUGGGGAGCGAACAGGAUUAGAUACCCUGGUAGUCCAUGCCGUAAACGUUGGGAACUAGAUGUGGGGACCAUUCCACGGUCUCCGUGUCGCAGCUAACGCAUUAAGUUCCCCGCCUGGGGAGUACGGCCGCAAGGCUAAAACUCAAAGGAAUUGACGGGGGCCCGCACAAGCGGCGGAGCAUGCGGAUUAAUUCGAUGCAACGCGAAGAACCUUACCAAGGCUUGACAUAUACCGGAAACAUGCAGAAAUGUGUGCCCCGCAAGGUCGGUAUACAGGUGGUGCAUGGUUGUCGUCAGCUCGUGUCGUGAGAUGUUGGGUUAAGUCCCGCAACGAGCGCAACCCUCGUUCUAUGUUGCCAGCACGUAAUGGUGGGAACUCAUAGGAGACUGCCGGGGUCAACUCGGAGGAAGGUGGGGAUGACGUCAAAUCAUCAUGCCCCUUAUGUCUUGGGCUUCACGCAUGCUACAAUGGCCGGUACAAAGGGCUGCGAUACCGUAAGGUGGAGCGAAUCCCAAAAAGCCGGUCUCAGUUCGGAUUGAGGUCUGCAACUCGACCUCAUGAAGUCGGAGUCGCUAGUAAUCGCAGAUCAGCAACGCUGCGGUGAAUACGUUCCCGGGCCUUGUACACACCGCCCGUCAAGUCAUGAAAGUCGGUAACACCCGAAGCCAGUGGCCUAACCGCAAGGGAGGAGCUGUCGAAGGUGGGAUCGGUGAUUAGGACUAAGUCGUAACAAGGUA